GGCCUGCUGGCGCAAUGGUAGCGCGUUUGUUUACGAUGCAAAAGGUACGGUCCCAUGACUCACAUCACCAGUCCAGCUCGAAUACUAAGUCUCAAUCCAGGUUGUAGGUUCGAUUCCUGCGUAGGUCG
This 128-nucleotide transfer RNA is filed under the name Alectoria sarmentosa. RNAcentral describes it as "tRNA-Arg". It matches the Rfam family "tRNA". Rfam says of the family: Transfer RNA (tRNA) molecules are approximately 80 nucleotides in length. Their secondary structure includes four short double-helical elements and three loops (D, anti-codon, and T loops). The record is from RNAcentral. Lineage: Eukaryota; Fungi; Ascomycota; Lecanoromycetes; Lecanorales; Parmeliaceae.